CGACGAUUUUAUAAUACUCCUAUUUCCGAUUUUGCCCAAUUUUCUUUCUGCGGCGGCGCCAAUCGCUGUUUUUGAGUUUCUUCCGCCAUUAAUCCUCUCCCACUCAUACCUCAAAACCUAAUUGCAUAAUCGCACUACCUCACCGCCACCACUUCUCCUUCUCAUCUCCUCUGAUUUAUUUGGAAUACCUAGAUUAUCCCCUUUGCAGAUCUCAUUUUCUUUUCUUUUCUUUUUUUCUUUAAAAAAAAAUUCUAUAGCUGAAGAGUGUAAACCCCGUGGGUUCAGCUGCCCAUCUUUGCCAGUUCUGCAAGUUUUCACCAGAUUAGAAAAUGCUGGGUUCAUUGCCUAUAUUGCCCCUACCGGCACCCCCCGAGGACGGAAAUCUCGGCCCAUUACCGGCUUCUCAAGUAACUGAGGAUUCUGAUGAUGAGAAAAAUUUGGAGAAUGAAGACCAGAAGAUGGCCAUUGAUAAACCCAGCUCAGCUCCACUGUCAGUAGCAACACACACGAGGUCGAUAGGAGUUAUACACCCACCUAUAGACAUUAGAACUAUAGUGGACAAAACUGCUCAGUUUGUGGCAAAAAAUGGACCAGAGUUUGAGAAAAGAAUUAUCGCAAACAAUGAAGGGAAUGCAAAAUUUAACUUUUUACGAGCCUCUGAUCCUUACCAUGCUUAUUAUCAGCACCGCCUAGCUGAAUCUCGAGCACAGAAUCAGGCAUCUGCUACACAGCCUCCUCAGUCGGAGCCUGCUCCUGAAUCAGUUAGUAGUACUCCAGCGGCUGAUGCAAAUGAUGCCUCAGCCAAGCCUGACCCUGCGGCUCAAUUCCGAACUGUACGUAAGGUUCUUGAUCCACCGGAGGCAGAGCAAUAUACUGUUCGGCUCCCUGAAGGGAUUACCGGGGAGGAAUUGGAUAUAAUCAAGCUCACUGCUCAGUUUGUGGCAAGAAAUGGGAAGUCUUUUUUGACUGGUUUGACUAGCAGAGAGAGCACCAAUCCUCAGUUUCAUUUCUUAAGGCCAACACAUAGUAUGUUUAUGUUCUUUACAUCUCUUGCUGAUGCUUAUUCAAAAGUAUUGAUGCCUCCCAAAGGGCAGUCUGAUAAGCUAAAAAUUAGCGUCCUUGAUAUGACUACUGUCCUGGAACGCUGCUUAAAUCGCCUUGAAUGGGAAGGAUCGCAAGAGCAGGCUAGGCAAAAAGCUGAAGAUGAGAUAGAGCAGGAGCGGCUGCAGAUGGCAAUGAUUGAUUGGCACGAUUUUGUAGUGGUUGAGUCAAUAGACUUUGUUGAUGACGAGGAUGAGGACUUACCUCCUCCAAUGAUUCUUGAGGAAGUCAUAAGAAGAAGCAAGAUGUCAGCUAUGGAGGAAGAAGAUUUCAUUGAGCCUAGCAAGGAGGUAGAAAUGGAAAUGGAUGAAGAAGAGGUCCAACUGGUUGAGGAGGGCAUGAGGGUGGCAAGUCUGCAGGAGAAUGGCGAUGCCAAGAGUAAUGAGGGCAAGGUAUAUUUAGAAGAGAACGAACCACCCAUGAGAAUUGUGAAAAAUUGGAAGAGACCUGAAGAUAGAAUACCAGCUGAAAGGGAUCCUACUAAAUAUGUUGUCUCUCCAAUAACUGGCGAGCUUAUCCCUAUAAGUGAAAUGUCCGAACACAUGAGAAUUUCUCUUAUUGAUCCCAAGUUUAAGGAACAGAAGGAUAGGAUGUUUGCUAAGAUAAGAGAGACCACCCUUGCGCCAGACGAUGAAAUAUCCAGGAAUAUUGUAGGACUUGCAAGAACCCGGCCUGAUAUUUUUGGUACAACAGAAGAAGAAGUUUCUAAUGCUGUGAAGGCUGAAAUUGAAAAGAAGGAUGAGCAACCAAAACAGGUCAUAUGGGAUGGUCACACUGGAAGCAUUGGCCGAACGGCCAGCCAGGCCAUGUCUCAGAAUACUGGUAUUGAUGACAUGAGUGAUGGUUCAAACAAUGAGGGCUGGAGCCUUCUGGGUCCAGCACCUCCUCCUCCUAGGCCCGGUAUGCCAUCAAUUAGGCCGCUACCUCCACCUCCUGGUCUUGCCUUAAAUAUUCCCAGGCCUCCCACAAUGGUUCAAUAUCCAAACCCAACUGGCAUUGGUAGUGUUGCACCACCACCACCUGGGCCCCCUGUUGUCAAUGUAAUUCCUUCUAUUCGCCCUCCACCUCCUUCAGUGCCUAUGAUGCACGGACAAAAUCUUAUGGGCAACCGCCCUCCAAUGCCGCCAUCUAUGCCCAUAAAUUCUAAUAUCCCUGUUCCACCACCACCUGGAUCACAGUUUACACCUUUGGGAGGUCAUAGGUUCCAACCAGGCAUGCCUAUGGUUCCUCCACCACCCAUGCCCCUUGGCAUGCCUCCACCACCACCACCUGAAGAGGCCCCUCCACCCCUUCCUGAAGAACCAGAGCCCAAGAGGCAAAGGCUUGAUGACUCUUUCCUCAUUCCGGAAGAACAGUUCCUGGCAAAACAUCCGGGUACGGCUCGUAUUAGUAUAUCAGUGCCUAACACUGAUGAAGGAAACCUGAAAGGACAAGUGUUGGAGAUUGCUGUGCAAUCCUUGACUGAAACAGUUGCAAGCUUGAAAGAGAAAAUUGCUGGCGAGAUCCAGCUUCCUGCAAAUAAACAGAAGCUUAGUGGGAAGGCAGGGUUUCUCAAGGACAAUUUAUCUCUUGCUUAUUACAAUGUUGGACCUGGAGAGGCACUAUCACUUUCUCUUAGAGAACGUGGUGGUAGGAAGAGAUGAACUACAUCACAAUGUAGAUCUUGUGAGACUCUCAUGUUAAAGCUUCUGGCGUUUCCAUAAUGAUGGUCUUAUUAUGAAGUUCUGAGACAUUUUUGUUGUGUCUUUGUUGAUUUUAGGGAUCUUGAUGGUUGUGUACUUGUUAAUCUUCGAAACUUUAAGCUAGUGCUUCUUGUUGCACUCCUGGUAUUAACUUAGGGUUCGGCCCAGUGCCCUGCAACGCGUGUUGUGUCCGUGGCCGGACUGCAAUCCAGGCCAUGUCUCAUACUGCUCAAGGGGUCCAAGUCCAGCUUGGGCCAGACCUGUCCUGCUGCAAUGCAUCCGAGCCUGACCUCACAGCAAGAUUUGUAGUCCGGCCCCACAUUUGUGUCCCAUGCAUUGUUGAUACCCUUAUGACCAAUUCAAAGUUCUAUUGCCAGAAUUUGAUCUUAUAGCCAUAGGUGUUUUUAUUUCUGAAAUAAUUCUUAGAUUAGGACUUAGUAGGCCCCAAGUCAAUUCCGUGUGGCUUAGGUUGAAGCCACAUAUCAGUUCUAGUAUCAUUUUCUUUAAGUCCAAAUCACAUGGUAAAAAAUUAUUUUAUGCGUUUGGUACAGUGUGUUUAUUUUUAACAAUUAACAAGUACUCUAGUAGCAGUAGUAGUUUUUUUUACAUCUACUCUUCCUAAUAUAUAGAUCUAUAUUAUAAAGAUUUAAUUUUUA
Molecule: RNA transcript, 3439 nt
Organism: Salvia splendens (bonfire salvia)
Lineage: Eukaryota; Viridiplantae; Streptophyta; Magnoliopsida; Lamiales; Lamiaceae
Gene name: probable splicing factor 3A subunit 1
Exons: 4
Source: RefSeq, a predicted model, not a curated record